GUAAGUUUGACGUGAAAUCCCGUUGCUCAACAACGGAACUGCGUCGAAUACUGCUCAGCUGGAGGUUCGGAGAUGAGGGCGGAAUUCUCGGUGUAGCGGUGAAAUGCGUAGAUAUCGAGAGGAACGCCGAUGGCGAAAGCAGCCCUCAAGACGAAAUCUGACCCUGAAACACGAAGGCCAGGGGAGCAAACGGGAUUAGAUACCCCGGUAGUCCUGGCAGUAAACGGUGCUCAUUAGAUGUAGGCGGAUUCGACCCCGCCUGUGUCGAACCUAACGGAUUAAAUGAGCCGCCUGGGAAGUACGGUCGCAAGAUUAAAACUCAAAGAAAUUGACGGGGGCCCGCACAAGCGGUGGAGUAUGUGGCUUAAUUCGAUGCAACGCGAAGAACCUUACCUGGCCUUGACAUGCUUAGUUCAGGCGUGGAAACACGCUGGCCCGCAAGGGCGAUUUGCACAGGUGCUGCAUGGCUGUCGUCAGCUCGUGUCGUGAGAUGUUGGGUUAAGUCCCGCAACGAGCGCAACCCUCGUGGUUAGUUAUUCCCGGGCAACCGGAAUCUGACCAGACUGCCCUGUGAAACGGGGAGGAAGGUGGGGACGACGUCAAGUCCGUAUGGCCCUUACGGCCAGGGCUGCACACGUACUACAAUGCCCAAUACAGAGGGACGCAAGACCGCAAGGUGGAGCUAAUCCCGUAAAGUUGGGCCCAGUUCGGAUUGGAGGCUGCAACUCGCCUCCAUGAAGUUGGAAUCGCUAGUAAUGGCGCAUCAGCUACGGCGCCGUGAAUACGUUCCCGGGCCUUGUACACACCGCCCGUCACAUCAUGAAAGCCGGUCUUACCCAAAGUCGCCUCCGGGUGCCUAAGGUAAGGCUGGUGAUUGGGAUG
Molecule: ribosomal RNA, 882 nt
Filed under: uncultured bacterium
Lineage: Bacteria
Description: bacterial SSU rRNA
Rfam family: Bacterial small subunit ribosomal RNA
Source: RNAcentral